AUUGAACGCUGGCGGCAUGCCUUACACAUGCAAGUCGAACGGCAGCGGGCCCUUCGGGGUGCCGGCGAGUGGCGAACGGGUGAGUAAGGCAUCGGAACGUACCCGGGAGAGGGGGAUAACCGGCCGAAAGGCUGGCUAAUACCGCAUGAACUCGGAAGAGCAAAGCGGGGGACCUUCGGGCCUCGCGCUCUUGGAGCGGCCGAUGUCCGAUUAGGCUAGUUGGUGGGGUAAAGGCUCACCAAGGCGACGAUCGGUAGCGGGUCGGGGAGGAGGAUCCGCCACACUGGGACUGAGACACGGCCCAGACUCCUACGGGAGGCAGCAGUGGGGAAUCUUGGACAAUGGGCGCAAGCCUGAUCCAGCAAUGCCGCGUGGGUGAAGAAGGCCUUCGGGUUGUAAAGCCCUUUCGGCGGGGAAGAAAUCGGUCAGGCGAAUAGUCUGGCCGGAUGACGGUACCCGCAGAAGAAGCACCGGCUAACUACGUG
RNAcentral lists this ribosomal RNA (485 nucleotides) under uncultured bacterium. RNAcentral describes it as "partial 16S ribosomal RNA". It matches the Rfam family "Bacterial small subunit ribosomal RNA", at positions 28 to 507 of the family's 1533-position model. The record is from RNAcentral.